This 29-nucleotide non-coding RNA is filed under the name Bombyx mori (domestic silkworm). RNAcentral also lists the same sequence under 3 other names. The record is from RNAcentral. Lineage: Eukaryota; Metazoa; Arthropoda; Insecta; Lepidoptera; Bombycidae.
GCCCGGAUAACUCAGUCGGUAGAGCAUUG